Molecule: ribosomal RNA, 482 nt
Filed under: uncultured Phycisphaerae bacterium
Lineage: Bacteria; Pseudomonadati; Planctomycetota; Phycisphaerae
Description: bacterial SSU rRNA
Rfam family: Bacterial small subunit ribosomal RNA
Source: RNAcentral
GAGUUUGAUCAUGGCUCAGCCUGAACGCUGGCGGCGUGGCUAAGACAUGCAAGUCGCACGGACCCGCAAGGGUUAGUGGCGAACGGGUGAGUAAUGAAUCGCUAAUGUACCCCGGACUCUGGGAUAGCCGGCCGAAAGGUCGGGUAAUACCAGAUGAUAUACCUUUAUCGCAUGAUAGAGGUCUCAAAGGUCCGCCGGUCUGGGAGCAGGCGAUUUCGUAUCAGCUAGUUGGUGGGGUAAUGGCCCACCAAGGCGACGACGCGUAGCCGGACUGAGAGGUUGGCCGGCCACAUUGGGACUGAGACACUGCCCAGACUCCUACGGGGGGCUGCAGUAACGAAUCUUCCGCAAUGUACGAAAGUAUGACGGAGCGACGCCGCGUGUAGGACGAAGCCCUUCGGGUGUAAACUACUGUCAGGGUUAGAAGUUCUGAUCAACCCAGAGGAAGGCACGGCUAACUCUGUGCCAGCCGCCGCAGUAAG